RNAcentral lists this ribosomal RNA (1236 nucleotides) under metagenome. RNAcentral describes it as "bacterial LSU rRNA". It matches the Rfam family "Bacterial large subunit ribosomal RNA", at positions 1669 to 2925 of the family's 2925-position model. The record is from RNAcentral.
GGGAGAGAAUCCUAAGGCCGGCGGAAGAAGUAUUGUUAAGGAACUCGGCAAAAUGACCCCGUAACUUCGGGAGAAGGGGUGCCUGCGAGAGCAGGCCGCAGAGAAGAGGCCCAAGCAACUGUUUAGCAAAAACACAGGUCUAUGCAAAACCGAAAGGUGAGGUAUAUGGGCUGACGCCUGCCCGGUGCUGGAAGGUUAAGGGGAGUGGUCAGGAAACGAAGCCACGAACUUAAGCCCCAGUAAACGGCGGCCGUAACAAUAACGGUCCUAAGGUAGCGAAAUUCCUUGUCGGGUAAGUUCCGACCCGCACGAAAGGCGUAAUGAUUUGGGCGCUGUCUCGACAAUACAUCCGGUGAAAUUGAAGUGCCAGUGAAGAUGCUGGCUACCUGCGCCAGGACGGAAAGACCCCAUGGAGCUUUACUCCAGCUUGAUACUGGGACCCGGUAUUGCAUGUACAGGAUAGGUGGGAGGCUUGGAAAUGUGGACGCCAGUCUGCAUGGAGCCGCUGUUGGGAUACCACCCUUGUGGUGCUGGGUUUCUAACCAGAGGCCGUGAACCGGUCUGGGGACAAUGUCAGGUGGGGAGUUUGACUGGGGCGGUCGCCUCCGAAAGGGUAUCGGAGGCGCCCAAAGGUUCCCUCAGAAUGGUUGGAAACCAUUCGAAGAGUGCAAAGGCAGAAGGGAGCUUGACUGCGACACCGACGGGUGGAGCAGGUACGAAAGUAGGGCUUAGUGAUCCGGUGGAAUUUAAGUGGGAAUGCCAUCGCUCAACGGAUAAAAGCUACCCUGGGAUAACAGGCUGAUCACUCCCAAGAGUUCACAUCGACGGAGUGGUUUGGCACCUCGAUGUCGGCUCAUCGCAUCCUGGGGCUGAAGUCGGUCCCAAGGGUUGGGCUGUUCGCCCAUUAAAGCGGUACGCGAGCUGGGUUCAGAACGUCGUGAGACAGUUCGGUCCCUAUCCGGCGUGGGCGUAGGAUAUCUGAGAGGAGCUGUCCUUAGUACGAGAGGACCGGGAUGGACUGACCUCUGGUGUACCGGUUGGCGAUCAACGCCACGGCCGGGUAGCCAUGUCGGGACGGGAUAAACGCUGAAGGCAUCUAAGCGUGAAGCCCCCCCUCAAGAUGAGAUAUCCCAUCGUAAGAGUAAGACCCCUUGAAGACGACGAGGUUGAUAGGGCAGGGGUGGAAGUGCUGUAAGGCAUGGAGCUGACUGCUACUAAUCGGUCGAGGGCUUGACU